CGGGCCGUCCGACCCGUCGCUGCGCCGCCGGAACCGUGCGGUGUAGAGAAAAGUCCGGACUCGCGAGGGACGGGAGAUAGCUCCCAUUCCAGAAAGGCCGCUUGGGCUAACAACCUGAGGGACGAGUAGGCGCAAGCCUCCGUUACGUCAAGUGCAGCAGAGAGUAGACCAGCCGAUGGCCUGGGGACCGAUCCUCCUGGCACAGGUGAUGGGUGAAAGGGUGGGGUAAGAGCCCACCGGCGGUAUUCCGUGAGGAACCGGCCAGGUAAACUACCGGUGCGAGCAAGCCAAAUUGUCUGAGUAUCCCAGACUGGUAGGCGCGGCUCCUCCAAGGGGAGCCCGGGAUUUCUCCCGGAGAUGGAUGACGGGAUAGAGCAGAAUCCGGCUUACGGGACGGCCCAGCCC
This 405-nucleotide RNase P RNA is filed under the name Actinomycetota bacterium. RNAcentral's name for it is "RNase P RNA component class A". It matches the Rfam family "Bacterial RNase P class A". Rfam says of the family: Ribonuclease P (RNase P) is a ubiquitous endoribonuclease, found in archaea, bacteria and eukarya as well as chloroplasts and mitochondria. Its best characterised activity is the generation of mature 5'-ends of tRNAs by cleaving the 5'-leader elements of precursor-tRNAs. Cellular RNase Ps are ribonucleoproteins. Lineage: Bacteria; Bacillati; Actinomycetota. The record is from RNAcentral.